RNAcentral lists this ribosomal RNA (253 nucleotides) under uncultured bacterium. RNAcentral describes it as "partial 16S ribosomal RNA". It matches the Rfam family "Bacterial small subunit ribosomal RNA", at positions 524 to 776 of the family's 1533-position model. The record is from RNAcentral.
UACAGGGGGUGCAAACGUUGCUCGGAAUCAUUGGGCGUAAAGCGCGCGUAGGCGGCCCGGUAAGUCCGCUGUGAAAGUCAAAGGCUCAACCUUUGAAUGUCAGCGGAUACUGCCGGGCUAGAGUCCGGAAGAGGCGAGUGGAACUCCUGGUGUAGCGGUGGAAUGCGCAGAUAUCAGGAAGAACACCAACGGCGAAGGCAGCUCGCUGGGACGGAACUGACGCUGAGGCGCGAAAGCGUGGGGAGCGAACAGG